GAUGAACGCUGGCGGCGUGCUUAACACAUGCAAGUCGAACGGGAAACCUUUUAUUGAAGCUUCGGCAGAUUUAGCUGGUUUCUAGUGGCGGACGGGUGAGUAACGCGUAGGUAACCUGCCUUAUACAGGGGGAUAACAGUCAGAAAUGGCUGCUAAUACCGCAUAAGCGCACAGAGCUGCAUGGCUCAGUGUGAAAAACUCCGGUGGUAUAAGAUGGACCCGCGUUGGAUUAGCUGGUUGGUGGGGUAACGGCCCACCAAGGCGACGAUCCAUAGCCGGCCUGAGAGGGUGAACGGCCACAUUGGGACUGAGACACGGCCCAGACUCCUACGGGAAGCAGCAGUGGGGAAUAUUGCACAAUGGGGGAAACCCUGAUGCAGCGACGCCGCGUGAAGGAAGAAGUAUCUCGGUAUGUAAACUUCUAUCAGCAGGGAAGAUAAUGACGGUACCUGACUAAGAAGCCCCGGCUAACUACGUG
RNAcentral lists this ribosomal RNA (478 nucleotides) under uncultured bacterium. Its description in RNAcentral is "partial 16S ribosomal RNA". It matches the Rfam family "Bacterial small subunit ribosomal RNA", at positions 28 to 507 of the family's 1533-position model. The record is from RNAcentral.